RNAcentral lists this ribosomal RNA (253 nucleotides) under uncultured bacterium. RNAcentral's name for it is "partial 16S ribosomal RNA". It matches the Rfam family "Bacterial small subunit ribosomal RNA", at positions 524 to 776 of the family's 1533-position model. The record is from RNAcentral.
UACGAAGGGGGCUAGCGUUGCUCGGAAUCACUGGGCGUAAAGGAUGCGUAGGCGGACAUUUAAGUCAGAUGUGAAAUACCCGAGCUUAACUUGGGUGCUGCAUUUGAAACUGGGUGUCUAGAGUGCAGGAGAGGUAAGUGGAAUUCCUAGUGUAGCGGUGAAAUGCGUAGAGAUUAGGAAGAACACCAGUGGCGAAGGCGACUUACUGGCCCGUAACUGACGCUGAGGCGCGAAAGCGUGGGGAGCAAACAGG